RNAcentral lists this ribosomal RNA (2900 nucleotides) under Klebsiella pneumoniae. RNAcentral describes it as "23S ribosomal RNA". It matches the Rfam family "Bacterial large subunit ribosomal RNA". Lineage: Bacteria; Pseudomonadati; Pseudomonadota; Gammaproteobacteria; Enterobacterales; Enterobacteriaceae. The record is from RNAcentral.
GGUUAAGCGACUAAGCGUACACGGUGGAUGCCCUGGCAGUCAGAGGCGAUGAAGGACGUGCUAAUCUGCGAAAAGCGUCGGUAAGGUGAUAUGAACCGUUAUAACCGGCGAUGUCCGAAUGGGGAAACCCAGUGCAAUUCGUUGCACUAUCGUUAACUGAAUACAUAGGUUAACGAGGCGAACCGGGGAACUGAAACAUCUAAGUACCCCGAGGAAAAGAAAUCAACCGAGAUUCCCCCAGUAGCGGCGAGCGAACGGGGAGCAGCCCAGAGUCUGAAUCAGCUUGUGUGUUAGUGGAACGGUCUGGAAAGUCCGACGGUACAGGGUGAUAGUCCCGUACACCAAAAUGCACAGGCUGUGAACUCGAAGAGUAGGGCGGGACACGUGGUAUCCUGUCUGAAUAUGGGGGGACCAUCCUCCAAGGCUAAAUACUCCUGACUGACCGAUAGUGAACCAGUACCGUGAGGGAAAGGCGAAAAGAACCCCGGCGAGGGGAGUGAAAAAGAACCUGAAACCGUGUACGUACAAGCAGUGGGAGCACCUUCGGGUGUGACUGCGUACCUUUUGUAUAAUGGGUCAGCGACUUAUAUUCUGUAGCAAGGUUAACCGUAUAGGGGAGCCGCAGGGAAACCGAGUCUUAACUGGGCGUUAAGUUGCAGGGUAUAGACCCGAAACCCGGUGAUCUAGCCAUGGGCAGGUUGAAGGUUGGGUAACACUAACUGGAGGACCGAACCGACUAAUGUUGAAAAAUUAGCGGAUGACUUGUGGCUGGGGGUGAAAGGCCAAUCAAACCGGGAGAUAGCUGGUUCUCCCCGAAAGCUAUUUAGGUAGCGCCUCGUGAAUUCAUCUUCGGGGGUAGAGCACUGUUUCGGCUAGGGGGUCAUCCCGACUUACCAACCCGAUGCAAACUACGAAUACCGAAGAAUGUUAUCACGGGAGACACACGGCGGGUGCUAACGUCCGUCGUGAAGAGGGAAACAACCCAGACCGCCAGCUAAGGUCCCAAAGUCAUGGUUAAGUGGGAAACGAUGUGGGAAGGCACAGACAGCCAGGAUGUUGGCUUAGAAGCAGCCAUCAUUUAAAGAAAGCGUAAUAGCUCACUGGUCGAGUCGGCCUGCGCGGAAGAUGUAACGGGGCUAAACCAUGCACCGAAGCUGCGGCAGCGACACUAUGUGUUGUUGGGUAGGGGAGCGUUCUGUAAGCCUGCGAAGGUGUGCUGUGAGGCAUGCUGGAGGUAUCAGAAGUGCGAAUGCUGACAUAAGUAACGAUAAAGCGGGUGAAAAGCCCGCUCGCCGGAAGACCAAGGGUUCCUGUCCAACGUUAAUCGGGGCAGGGUGAGUCGACCCCUAAGGCGAGGCCGAAAGGCGUAGUCGAUGGGAAACAGGUUAAUAUUCCUGUACUUGGUGUUACUGCGAAGGGGGACGGAGAAGGCUAUGUUAGCCGGGCGACGGUUGUCCCGGUUUAAGCAUGUAGGCUGGUUGUCCAGGCAAAUCCGGAUAAUCAAGGCUGAGGUGUGAUGACGAGGCACUACGGUGCUGAAGUAACAAAUGCCCUGCUUCCAGGAAAAGCCUCUAAGCAUCAGGUAACAUCAAAUCGUACCCCAAACCGACACAGGUGGUCAGGUAGAGAAUACCAAGGCGCUUGAGAGAACUCGGGUGAAGGAACUAGGCAAAAUGGUGCCGUAACUUCGGGAGAAGGCACGCUGGUGUGUAGGUGAAGCCCCUGCGGGUGGAGCUGAGACCAGUCGAAGAUACCAGCUGGCUGCAACUGUUUAUUAAAAACACAGCACUGUGCAAACACGAAAGUGGACGUAUACGGUGUGACGCCUGCCCGGUGCCGGAAGGUUAAUUGAUGGGGUUAUCCGUAAGGAGAAGCUCUUGAUCGAAGCCCCGGUAAACGGCGGCCGUAACUAUAACGGUCCUAAGGUAGCGAAAUUCCUUGUCGGGUAAGUUCCGACCUGCACGAAUGGCGUAAUGAUGGCCAGGCUGUCUCCACCCGAGACUCAGUGAAAUUGAACUCGCUGUGAAGAUGCAGUGUACCCGCGGCAAGACGGAAAGACCCCGUGAACCUUUACUAUAGCUUGACACUGAACAUUGAGCCUUGAUGUGUAGGAUAGGUGGGAGGCUUUGAAGCGUGGACGCCAGUCUGCGUGGAGCCAACCUUGAAAUACCACCCUUUAAUGUUUGAUGUUCUAACGUUGGCCCCUGACCGGGGUUGCGGACAGUGUCUGGUGGGUAGUUUGACUGGGGCGGUCUCCUCCCAAAGCGUAACGGAGGAGCACGAAGGUUAGCUAAUCCUGGUCGGACAUCAGGAGGUUAGUGCAAUGGCAUAAGCUAGCUUGACUGCGAGCGUGACGGCGCGAGCAGGUGCGAAAGCAGGUCAUAGUGAUCCGGUGGUUCUGAAUGGAAGGGCCAUCGCUCAACGGAUAAAAGGUACUCCGGGGAUAACAGGCUGAUACCGCCCAAGAGUUCAUAUCGACGGCGGUGUUUGGCACCUCGAUGUCGGCUCAUCACAUCCUGGGGCUGAAGUAGGUCCCAAGGGUAUGGCUGUUCGCCAUUUAAAGUGGUACGCGAGCUGGGUUUAGAACGUCGUGAGACAGUUCGGUCCCUAUCUGCCGUGGGCGCUGGAGAAUUGAGGGGGGCUGCUCCUAGUACGAGAGGACCGGAGUGGACGCAUCACUGGUGUUCGGGUUGUCAUGCCAAUGGCACUGCCCGGUAGCUAAAUGCGGAAGAGAUAAGUGCUGAAAGCAUCUAAGCACGAAACUUGCCCCGAGAUGAGUUCUCCCUGAGACUUUAAGUCUCCUGAAGGAACGUUAAAGACGAUGACGUUGAUAGGCCGGGUGUGUAAGCGCAGCGAUGCGUUGAGCUAACCGGUACUAAUGAACCGUGAGGCUUAACCUU